RNAcentral lists this ribosomal RNA (253 nucleotides) under uncultured bacterium. RNAcentral describes it as "partial 16S ribosomal RNA". It matches the Rfam family "Bacterial small subunit ribosomal RNA", at positions 524 to 776 of the family's 1533-position model. The record is from RNAcentral.
UCCGAAGGGUGCAAGCGUUACUCGGAAUUACUGGGCGUAAAGCGUGCGUAGGUGGUGAGUUAAGUCUGUCGUGAAAGCCCCGGGCUCAACCUGGGAAUGGCGAUGGAUACUGGCUCGCUAGAGUGCGGUAGAGGAGAGUGGAAUUCCCGGUGUAGCAGUGAAAUGCGUAGAGAUCGGGAGGAACAUCAGUUGCGAAGGCGGAUCUCUGGGCAGUUCCUGACACUGAGGCACGAAGGCCAGGGGAGCAAACGGG